AUUGAACGCUGGCGGCAUGCUUUACACAUGCAAGUCGAACGGUAACAGGCCGCAAGGUGCUGACGAGUGGCGAACGGGUGAGUAAUGCAUCGGAACGUGCCCAGUCGUGGGGGAUAACUACUCGAAAGAGCAGCUAAUACCGCAUACGAUCUAUGGAUGAAAGCGGGGGACCGUAAGGCCUCGCGCGAUUGGAGCGGCCGAUGUCAGAUUAGGUAGUUGGUGGGGUAAAGGCUCACCAAGCCAACGAUCUGUAGCUGGUCUGAGAGGACAACCAGCCACACUGGGACUGAGACACGGCCCAGACUCCUACGGGAGGCAGCAGUGGGGAAUUUUGGACAAUGGGCGCAAGCCUGAUCCAGCAAUGCCGCGUGCAGGAAGAAGGCCUUCGGGUUGUAAACUGCUUUUGUACGGAACGAAACGGCUCUGGUUAAUACCCGGGGCUAAUGACGGUACCGUAAGAAUAAGCACCGGCUAACUACGUG
This 482-nucleotide ribosomal RNA is filed under the name uncultured bacterium. RNAcentral's name for it is "partial 16S ribosomal RNA". It matches the Rfam family "Bacterial small subunit ribosomal RNA", at positions 30 to 507 of the family's 1533-position model. The record is from RNAcentral.